Molecule: ribosomal RNA, 269 nt
Filed under: uncultured prokaryote
Description: partial 16S ribosomal RNA
Rfam family: Bacterial small subunit ribosomal RNA
Source: RNAcentral
UACGGAGGAUCCGAGCGUUAUCCGGAUUUAUUGGGUUUAAAGGGUGCGCAGGCGGGAGAUUAAGUCGGCGGUGAAAUUUUGCAGCUCAACUGUAAAAGUGCCUUCGAAACUGGUUUCCUUGAGUGUAGAUGAAGUAGGCGGAAUUUGUGGUGUAGCGGUGAAAUGCAUAGAUAUUACACAGAACACCGAUUGCGAAGGCAGCUUACUAAUCCAUCAUUGACGCUGAGGCACGAAAGCGUGGGGAUCAAACAGGAUUAGAUACCCCGGUA